RNAcentral lists this ribosomal RNA (301 nucleotides) under uncultured bacterium. RNAcentral's name for it is "partial 16S ribosomal RNA". It matches the Rfam family "Bacterial small subunit ribosomal RNA", at positions 509 to 808 of the family's 1533-position model. The record is from RNAcentral.
CAGUCGCCGCGGUAAUACGGAGGGGGCAAGCGUUAUCCGGAAUUAUUGGGCGUAAAGGGUACGUAGGUGGCCUUUUAAGCGUAGGGUAUAAGGCAAUGGCUCAACCAUUGUUCGCCCUAUGAACUGGAAGGCUUGAGUGCAGGAGAGGAAAGCGGAAUUCCUAGUGUAGCGGUGGAAUGCAUAGAUAUUAGGAGGAACACCGGCGGCGAAGGCGGCUUUCUGGAUUGUAACUGACACUGAGGCACGAAAGCGUGGGUAGCAAACAGGAUUAGAUACCCCAGUAGUCCCUGUCUCUUAUACC